Molecule: ribosomal RNA, 470 nt
Filed under: Enterococcus sp. oral taxon A43
Lineage: Bacteria; Bacillati; Bacillota; Bacilli; Lactobacillales; Enterococcaceae
Description: bacterial SSU rRNA
Rfam family: Bacterial small subunit ribosomal RNA
Source: RNAcentral
GACGAACGCUGGCGGCGUGCCUAAUACAUGCAAGUCGAACGCUUCUUUUUCACCGAACUUCGGUUCAUCGAAAAAGAGGAGUGGCGAACGGGUGAGUAACACGUGGGUAACCUGCCCAUCAGAAGGGGAUAACACUUGGAAACAGGUGCUAAUACCGUAUAAUGCUUUUUCUCGCAUGAGAGCAAGCUGAAAGGCGCUUUUGCGUCACUGAUGGAUGGACCCGCGGUGCAUUAGCUAGUUGGUGAGGUAACGGCUCACCAAGGCCACGAUGCAUAGCCGACCUGAGAGGGUGAUCGGCCACACUGGGACUGAGACACGGCCCAGACUCCUACGGGAGGCAGCAGUAGGGAAUCUUCGGCAAUGGACGAAAGUCUGACCGAGCAACGCCGCGUGAGUGAAGAAGGUUUUCGGAUCGUAAAACUCUGUUGUUAGAGAAGAACAAGGAUGAGAGUAAAAUGUUCAUCCUUGAC